GACGAACGCUGGCGGCAUGCCUAAUACAUGCAAGUCGAGCGAACAGGUGAAGUGCUUGCACUUCUGACGUUAGCGGCGAACGGGUGAGUAACACGUAAGGAAUCUACCUAUAAGCGGAGGAUAACAUUCGGAAACGGGUGCUAAUACCGCAUAAUAUCUUCUUCCGCAUGGAAGAAGAUUGAAAGACGGCUCUGCUGUCACUUAUCGAUGACCUUGCGGUGCAUUAGUUAGUUGGUGGGGUAAUGGCCUACCAAGACGAUGAUGCAUAGCCGACCUGAGAGGGUGAUCGGCCACAUUGGGACUGAGACACGGCCCAAACUCCUACGGGAGGCAGCAGCAGGGAAUCUUCCGCAAUGGGCGAAAGCCUGACGGAGCAAUGCCGCGUGAGUGAAGAAGGCCUUCGGGUCGUAAAACUCUGUUAUAAGAGAAGAACAAAUUGUAGAGUAACUGCUACAGUCUUGACGGUAUCUUAUCAGAAAGCCACGGCUAACUACGUGCCAGCCGCCGCGGUAA
RNAcentral lists this ribosomal RNA (513 nucleotides) under uncultured bacterium. RNAcentral's name for it is "partial 16S ribosomal RNA". It matches the Rfam family "Bacterial small subunit ribosomal RNA", at positions 28 to 523 of the family's 1533-position model. The record is from RNAcentral.